UACCGCGGUUAAACGAGCGGCCCAAGUUGAUAGGCUACGGCGUAAAGCGUGGUUAGGGGGAAAUACCUAAAAACUAAAGCCGAAUGCCAUCAUGGCUGUUAUACGCUCACGAUGGUUAGAAGCCCAAUCACGAAAGUAGCUUUAAAACGACCUGAACCCACGAAAGCUAGG
Molecule: ribosomal RNA, 171 nt
Filed under: Pelates quadrilineatus (fourlined terapon)
Lineage: Eukaryota; Metazoa; Chordata; Actinopteri; Centrarchiformes; Terapontidae
Description: partial small subunit ribosomal RNA
Source: RNAcentral